GCCUGUGUUUGCUCGUAUGUAUAUAAAUGUAUUUAUGUGUGUGUGUGUGUGUGUGUGUCUUUGUAUGUGCUUAUACUGUAUGUGUGUUGCGUGAAUGAAGUGACUUAACCUACACCAGCUGUUAUUCAGAACAAUACGGGUAUAGAUAUGUAGGUUUUUUCUCCUUAUAUAAAUGAUUUAUUUUCCUUUAUACAGAACAUAUUAACUCUUGUUCUGUGGUACAGUUUGAUGCAUAAUGAUUUGGGUUUAACACACAAACACAUAUACAGUAUAUAUAUAUAAUUUCCUUCUAGGAUUAUUAUAACUUUUUAAACUGUUAUUUCCUACUUUACAUUAUAUUUAAGCUCCACAACCUGCUAAAAACAGCAUCACGUCGCCUUCGUGAUAUAAUUCUUGGAUGUUACAGUGCGUCACCGGACAUACACAAAGGAUAACACUAUAUAACCUCAACCCUGUGUUUGUUGACGCCCUCCUGACGUGUACAGACUCAAGAGAGGUUUUCGCUAGCAAUUUCGCACCAGAAAGCCAGAAUUAUGUGAGCUUCUCUGGGUAUUUCUGGUGAGAAUGGCCUCAGUCAGAGUGAGUUACAGCGGUAAAAUUGCGUUAUAGAGAAAAUACCACGUGAGUUUAGAAGGAUUUGUUUUAAGGUCACGUAUGUGAUUAAGUUAGUAAGUGACCAGAAUAUAAUUUUAUUCACGUUGUUUUUCAUUUGCGCAAUGUUGUGUUAUUGCCCAGUGGUUCUACCUGCUGGUGUACCUCGUGAGUUGGUGAUGACAUACAGUAAAUGUGUUGACGUCCACUAAUAGGUGCAGCUGAGGUGUGUUGAAGGUGUAACUAUCUUAGUAUCACACACACACACAAGCAGCAGGUGUUAUACUGUAAUGUCAGGUGUUGCUCGAUGUCUUGUUGUCAGGGGAGAUGGUUAGAGCGUAUUGAAGAUGUGAGGGCGUCUCUUCCCCCCUUCUCCACACGUUAUAUUAAGGGUCUUGGUAGUGUCAAGGUACUGUACAGUUGCCUCCACACGAACGUACCACGGCCUGGGAAUGUGUGAGGCCACAGAUACGAAAUAUGGCAACGCAGCGCCUUAGUCGUGGGCGUGAAACCGUGGAUUACUCUGUUUGUCGGUUGCCCAUAGUUCAGUCCUACUCACUCCGUCUUGGCUACACAACAAUGACGCAUAACACUUGUUACAGGUCUCGUUUAUCUGUUUACCUCCUUUAGUGUUUGUAUGUUAUGGCAGAUGUUGAUGAAAUGUAUCGGAAUGGUGUGAAAGAUAUUCUAAAAUAAUUUUACAUGAAUUUUAAGGUGUAAUAUUAUAAUAAAAGGUAAGUGUUCUUAUGUGUGUGUUACCAGGUCAUUCAUUCAGCCCUGACUACUGCUGUGGUAUGUUCAUGUGGAGGCAACUGUACCCAAGUCAUCGGCCUGUGAUGCUAAGGUGUGUUGAAUUAUUACAUCAGUGUUGCUAAGGUGUGUUGAACCAUCACAUCAGUAUUGCUAAGGCUUGUUGAAUUAUCAUAUCAGUGUUGCAAUGGUGUGUUGAGAGUGUUUAUGAGUGAUUGAGGUGUGUUAGGUGUUUCUUUACACUCUCAGACCGGUGUUAUUAGAGUGUGUUGGUGGCAUCUAGGUACAGUAUGUGUUUACAAUAUCAGACUAAGGUAGGGUGUGUUGUCAGUGUGCCACAUACUACGGAACAAAAGAUGGUAGGAUGCAGGUGUAGGGUGAUCUGUUUGUGUUUCUGUUUGUCUCUACUUCAUGUUAACAGACUAGAGACCCAGGGUGUGUCGAAGGUGUCAAGGUGUCCCACACUCUACUUGACUGGUGUUGGCAGAGAGUGUAAAACUUUAAGUGCUCAUAAAUCUUCAUAAACAAAUAUUAUUACACUCGGGACAAGAGCGAGUGUUUGCACCUCGUUCAGUGAGGGUGUGUCUGUGUGUGUGUCUGCUCGAGGUAUUUGGUUUAUAUUCAUUGUGUAUAAUGUUAUGCAGUAUGAAGGAGUCGCUUCACUGAUUAUAUUUGUGAACAGAAAUAUAUGUACAGAUCUGGAAGCUGAAUUUAUUUGUAAAUUAUGGAAAUACAUACAAUAUAUAUUCUUACCGUUGCUGAGAUAAUGUUAUAUACCCGAGGCUGUCAGUGUAUCAUAAUCAUAAUAAAUUUGUGUACAUGGAA
RNAcentral lists this long non-coding RNA (2166 nucleotides) under Homarus americanus (American lobster). RNAcentral's name for it is "uncharacterized LOC121855304". The record is from RNAcentral. Lineage: Eukaryota; Metazoa; Arthropoda; Malacostraca; Decapoda; Nephropidae.